RNAcentral lists this ribosomal RNA (467 nucleotides) under uncultured bacterium. RNAcentral describes it as "partial 16S ribosomal RNA". It matches the Rfam family "Bacterial small subunit ribosomal RNA", at positions 28 to 506 of the family's 1533-position model. The record is from RNAcentral.
GAUGAACGCUGGCGGCGUGCUUAACACAUGCAAGUCGAACGGAAAGGCCAGUGCUUGCACUGGUACUCGGGUGGCGAACGGGUGAGUAACACGUGGGUGAUCUGCCCUGCACUUCGGGAUAAGCCUGGGAAACUGGGUCUAAUACCGGAUAGGACAAUGGUUUGGAUGCCGUUGUGGAAAGUUUUUUCGGUGUGGGAUGAGCUCGCGGCCUAUCAGCUUGUUGGUGGGGUAAUGGCCUACCAAGGCGUCGACGGGUAGCCGGCCAGAGAGGGUGUACGGCCACAUUGGGACUGAGAUACGGCCCAGACUCCUACGGGGGGCAGAAGUGGGGAAGAUUGAACAAUGGGCGCAAGCCUGAUGCAGCGACGCCGCGUGGGGGAUGACGGCCUUCGGGUUGUAAACUCCUUUCGCUAGGGACGAAGCGUAUUUGUGACGGUACCUGGAGAAGAAGCACCGGCUAACUACGU